Small nucleolar RNA from Brassica oleracea var. oleracea, 110 nucleotides. It matches the Rfam family "Plant small nucleolar RNA R71". Rfam says of the family: R71 is a member of the C/D box family of snoRNAs containing the C (UGAUGA) and D (CUGA) box motifs. Multiple nearly identical copies of this snoRNA have been identified in Arabidopsis, and it is thought to function as a 2'-O-ribose methylation guide for 18S ribosomal RNA. The record is from Rfam. Lineage: Eukaryota; Viridiplantae; Streptophyta; Magnoliopsida; Brassicales; Brassicaceae.
AAUUCAUGGUGAGGACACUCCCUUAGAUAUUCAUUAAAUAUCUCCCAAGUUUCACAAAAUGGUUCAUCAACUUGCUGCAGAAACGAUGAAAUCUUAUUUUGCGUGCAGCU